ACACUGUUGAAGAGUCCCAAACUAGGACGAAACAACUGUCCAGUAC
Molecule: non-coding RNA, 46 nt
Filed under: Trichobilharzia regenti
Lineage: Eukaryota; Metazoa; Platyhelminthes; Trematoda; Strigeidida; Schistosomatidae
Source: RNAcentral